AUUAAAAAUGUAGCUAUCUUCAUGUUACUAUGUUAAAGACCUUCUGUGUGUUUUGUUCUUUCUGUUUACUGAAAGAAAUUCACUUAAAAAUGACAUUUGUUGUCAUGACUCUUGCAUCUGACACCUGAGUUUGAGACUGAUUUUUGAGUCCUGACUUCCUGGGUUGGAACUAGCCGCACCUGCUGGUAAUCACACACCUGGUCCUGAUCAGCCACCCCCACCACUACUUAAGGAGAAACCAGACAUCCGUUCCUUGCUGGAUUGUUAAGCCGUGUACCGUCGGUUAAGCCUUAACAUCUAGCUCUAAGCCUUUUUGCCUUUACUAAUUUCUGUAUUCCUGUCUCCGUGCCUGAUGUAAAAAAAAUAAAAUAUAAACUGGC
Molecule: long non-coding RNA, 380 nt
Organism: Micropterus salmoides (largemouth bass)
Lineage: Eukaryota; Metazoa; Chordata; Actinopteri; Centrarchiformes; Centrarchidae
Exons: 2
Source: RefSeq, a predicted model, not a curated record